RNAcentral lists this ribosomal RNA (253 nucleotides) under uncultured bacterium. RNAcentral describes it as "partial 16S ribosomal RNA". It matches the Rfam family "Bacterial small subunit ribosomal RNA", at positions 524 to 776 of the family's 1533-position model. The record is from RNAcentral.
GACGUAGGUGGCAAGCGUUACUCGGAAUUACUAGGCGUAAAGCGCGCGUAGGCGGAAUGUUAAGUUUGUUGUGUAAUCUCCGGGCUCAACUCGGAAACUGCAACAAAAACUGGCGUUCUUGAGUGAGGCAGAGGAAGAUGGAAUUCCUGGUGUAGCAGUGAAAUGCGUAGAUAUCAGGAGGAACACCGGUGGCGAAGGCGGUUUUCUGGGCCUUUACUGACGCUAAAGUACGAAAGCUAGGGGAGCAAACGGG